UACAGAGGGGGCAAGCGUUGUUCGGAAUUACUGGGCGUAAAGGGCUCGUAGGCGGUCAACUAAGUCAGACGUGAAAUCCCUCGGCUUAACCGGGGAACUGCGUCUGAUACUGGAUGGCUUGAGGUUGGGAGAGGGAUGCGGAAUUCCAGGUGUAGCGGUGAAAUGCGUAGAUAUCUGGAGGAACACCGGUGGCGAAGGCGGCAUCCUGGACCAAUUCUGACGCUGAGGAGCGAAAGCCAGGGGAGCAAACGGG
RNAcentral lists this ribosomal RNA (253 nucleotides) under uncultured bacterium. RNAcentral's name for it is "partial 16S ribosomal RNA". It matches the Rfam family "Bacterial small subunit ribosomal RNA", at positions 524 to 776 of the family's 1533-position model. The record is from RNAcentral.